This 4226-nucleotide unclassified non-coding RNA is filed under the name Hevea brasiliensis (rubber tree). Lineage: Eukaryota; Viridiplantae; Streptophyta; Magnoliopsida; Malpighiales; Euphorbiaceae. The record is from RNAcentral.
GGAGAGAGAAAAGGCAGAGAGGCAGAGGACAUAACAAAGAAGAAGGAGAAAGAGGAGGAAAGGAAAGAAAAAUGGGUGAGGUAGCUGCCACAAUGACGAAGAAGAAGAAGAAGAAGGGACGUCCCUCUCUCUUAGACCUUCAAAAACGCUCUCUCAAGCAGCAGCAACAACAACAAAACCCUAAUUUCAAAAACCCUAAUUCCCUCAUUGCCUCAAACACAACCUCUCACCGCCGAUCCGCCCGCCGUAGGCCUAAUCUCGAUGAGCCAGACUGGAUUAACGGUGAUGAAGACGACGACGACGAAGACGAGCGCAAAGAGAAGAAACAUAAGCUUUUGCUUGGAUUGAAUUCCCAACAAAACAACAACAACAACGACGACAACAACAACAACCAUCAUUACCCGAUUUCCUCGGCGAAUUCCCUGGGUCCUAAUCCCUCAUACGUCUCUGAUGGUGCUAAUCCCGAGACGGCUCUCAAGAGGCGAAAGGUCAGUGCCGCCUCUAUCGGAUCUGAUGAUAUGGGUGAAAAGGGUCCGAAAGCGACAGACACUCUUCAUGAGUCUCCGCUGGAGCCUGGCCCCACAGCUCCGUUGCCAGACAAAAAGUUGUUGGUCUUCAUUCUUGAUAGGCUACAAAAAAAGGAUACUUAUGGAGUGUUUUCUGAGCCCGUGGAUCCUGAAGAGCUUCCUGAUUACCAUGAUAUCAUUGAGCAUCCCAUGGACUUUUCCACCUUAAGAAAAAAGCUAGAUGGGGGAGCUUAUGCCAACUUGGAACAAUUUGAGGUUGGUUUAAUAUGUAUUUUGCUAAUUUGAAUGUAUGAGGGUUGCCUUGAUUAUAAUCUGAGCCAGACUGUGGGAGCAUGGGAGGAAAAAACGACCUCAGAAGUACUUUAGUUUAUUUACCAUUUUAUAAUUCUAUUGAAUUUUAGCUCUUCUGAUUUCUAUGGAAGCUGUCCAAUGGGUUUGUGUUUUCCUCUCAUGAAUUUCUCACAGCCAUACAAAACGUUUGAAAAUAAAAGAGCUUAUUGUAUUGAGUUAAAUUUCUAGCUGAAUGGUAGGCACGUGAGAAGUGAGAGGCACUGUUUGAUAGUCCUGCAUAAUUUUCUUGAUUAAAGGUGUAAUAAAUCGCCUAUUUAUUACAGUAUUAGCUGUAGCAUUAACACCCUACCCCUGUUUAUAUCUUUUACAGCACAUCAAAAUUGUUGUCAUAAUGAGCUAGCGUUUUUUGAUUACUUUUGUUUGCUUUCUAAUUGAUUUACUGUUGGGAUUUUUGGUCUCUGUAGAUCCAUAGUGGUACUGCAGCAUAUCCAAAUUAUUAAUGUGCUGUCCUGUAGCCUGCCAAUUUUGUAAGAGACAUAAAAGGCAUCCAUACCAUUCUCCCCAAGUUCUCUUUCCUAAAAUAAAGAUCGAUGGGUGUUCUUAGUAUGAAAUAUGAAUUAGCUUAUAGCAGAAAGCUGACUUGGUUAUUUUUGCAUCAGACACUCCAUUAGUAGUUACCACUGGACAUUGGGUGAUAGAAUAAAGCAAAGACUUGGUAAGUGAAGGUUAGCAUCAGUCUUGUGCGAAAUGUGAGAAAUUGUGCAACCAAGACCAACUGCAUUUAGAACGAGCAUCUUGGUUGAGCUUGAGAUUGGGCCAUCAGGUAGAUAAGGCAAACUGGGCGAAAAGGGCUGCAGAUAUUGACUGUUGAAAUUUAAAGGCUAUGCUGAUAUAAGGAUGGGCAGGUGGUCCUUGUGGGAGCAAGCACGUAAAUGCAUAAAUGAUGGUUUAUUUUAUUCAUCAGCUAGAACAAGAAAUGUGCGGCUGAUAAUUAGUUUUAUGGUAUUAGCACAUGGUUGAAUGUUUUGAGUUCCAAAAUUAACCAACUAAAUGUGAAGAAGCAUGCAUUAGUAAUAUGGUACACUGCUAACCAUUAUGGUGAUAUUAGCUGGUUUUGUUCUUGAGUAUAUUAAAUUACUGUAUUCUUGGUUUGCUUUUUCUGAAAACAAAUAUUUGAUUAAUUAGAAAUUGAAAGUUGUGAUUUUUUUAUUUGCGCAGAAAGAUGUGUUUCUGAUAUGUUCAAAUGCAAUGCAGUAUAAUUCACCAGAUACUAUUUACUUUCGACAGGUUUGUCUGGCUACCAAAUUUCGUUUUUCUUUUUCAAAGGGUUCUAUUUGCCAUAUUUUUUAGUGUAGUGAUUCUUCUCUUAGGCACGAUCCAUGCAAGAGCUUGCAAGUAAGGACUUUGAAAACUUGAGACAAGAUAGUGAUGAUGGUGAACCCCAACCCAAAAUUGUGAGGAGAGGCAGACCACCUGGAAAGCUGAAAAAAUCUCUUGAGAGGUCUACCCUUGAUCGUGUUGGUCCUGAAUGUUCCUCAGAUGCAACUCUUGCCUCUGGAGGGGAUAAUCCCAACAGUUCUGCUGGUUACAAUCUCAGAAGAACCCAUUCAUACAAGUAUCAGCCUGCAGAUGUCCUGGUCAAAACCACUUUUGGGUCCCAUAACAGUGAAACGUAUUCUACCUGGAUGUCUGAAUGGGAAAAUGAAUUUCCAGCUUCUGUUUUGAAGGCUGUACUAAGGUGUGGGAAGAAACCAUUUGUGAUAGAUGAGAAUAGGCGAGACACUUAUAAGCAUCCAUCGGCUUCUACACAUGGACCAUCGUCUUUGAAUAUUUUCGAAGGAGAACUGAAGCAAUUGAUGACAGUAUGUUAAAAAGAAACUCUACUGCAUUGUUUUUGCUCUCCCGUUUGAAGCUGAUAUUUUGUGUAUUGUUUGGUUCUCUGUCAUGAUACGUAUUUCUCAACCAAUACUCUUUUUCUUGUUUAUUGGUUUCAAAUGAUACAUUAUAGAAUGUAGUGCUUGAUGCUAAAAUCAUAUUCUUAUGUACUAGGGGAUAGCGGUUGAAAAUUUUUUAGAAAAUCAAUUGCUUUGUAUGUUACUUUUUCUGGGGCAUCAUUAUGAUGGUUCAAUUGUAUAACAAGCACCUACAAUUACAAGAACCCAUUUUAUCCAAGUUAAUUGCUGUUUAUAUGUUGUCAAUGGCUUCAUGUACUUGUAACUUGGUUUUGGUUGUCUUUGAUAUAACAUCAGGUAGGUUUAAAUUCAGAGCAUGGUUAUGCAAGAAGUCUGGCACGUUUUGCUGCCGAUCUAGGGCCCAUUGCAUGGAAAAUUGCUUCAAAGAAAAUUGAAAGUGUGUUGCCAACAGGACUUGAAUUUGGUCCUGGGUGGGUAGGAGAAGAUAAGGCGGUUGAGCGACAGCAGCAGCUUUUAUUUUCUGAUAGGCGUAAAGUUUCAAACAGUUGGGUUGCUACUGAAAAUUUAGGCAGACUUCAAUCUUCAACUGCUAGUGGAACAAAUUCUGGUGCAAAUUCUUUAGUUGCAAGUAGAUGUACAGCAUGGAGUGGAGAAGACAUGGUGGAAACUGUUGGUGGAUUGAAUUCCCAAAGCGAGUUAAGUUCACUAAACAAUGGUAUUACUGGCAUGAACCCUGGGUAUUCUGUUGUGGUUCAACCAAAGCCUGUGAUUCAGUCUGAUUUAAAUGGUUUUAGUGGUGGGUUUGGGUAUAAUAAUUGUUCACCUCUACUGGGGACAGCAAGACUUGGGGUUGCAACAGGGAGGUCCAGUUCAGAGCACACAGCAGUUACUUCACAAGCAUUUGACAAGGUUUCAACUAGCAACACCAGUUUCUGCCCAAUGAGAGGGAAUGAUUUUAAGUUGAACAAAGCCAAGUUGUCAGAAACUUCAAGUGUAUUGUUACAGUCUGGAAAAUCAUCAGCUCUAGGUCCGAGCUCCGACUCUCAGGCACUACUCAAUGCAGGGAUUGAUGGAAAAUCAUUUCGGCAGUACAAUCAACAAGAUUUCUUUCAAUUUCCACCGGACCUGAAUGUUGGAUGCUUGGCACCAAAUUCACCUAGUUCCAGUGUGCCAAUUGGUUUACCACAGCAGCCAGAUUUAGCAUUGCAGCUAUGAAUUGAGGAUGGGCAAUUCAUCUUCCUUUACCGGUGGAGGGUAGAUUGUUAGGUUUGAACAUUUGUCCAGCAAAAGGAAUAAAUAAUAAAGUGGAGAGUCAUCUUUUGGAUUUGGGUGGCUUUCUGAGUAGCAUCUUGAUGAUCCAUAACAUGAGGAAUCAAUCUUAGGGGAAGAUUUUGUACAGCUUAAUGUAUCAAUUUUUUUAUUUGAAAAACCACAGUUUUAUAGAAUGCUAUAUUUGAAUGCCUAAUUUGCGCAAUGUUAUGUUUGGUAAAGAGUA